GUCAGUAGGUCUUACGCAAGGUUACGCUCGAUCCCCGUGUAGUGAAAUCUGAUUGGAUCUUUACAGGGAAGCGUCCAAUUUGUAGAAAGAAAGCUAACAAACAAUAGCAGACCUGCUAACAAUAACUUCUCAAUGAAGUCAUGUGAUCACAUACGCAGGUACAGUAGGUGGCAGCAUGCACCAAUAACGUUGGUUUGUAGCCCGCCAGAAAACCGAGGAAGAAGAAGAAGAAAACCGAAGAAGAAGAAGAAAAAAACGAAGAAGAAGAAGAAAAAAGAAAAGAAAAAACAAACAAACAAAUGAAGAAAGAAAUGCUCAGUGUUUGCUUUGACUUCUCAUGACAACAAUAUUCAUAACCUGGAAUACUUUUAUAAGGAACCCUUUUGAUUUUUGUGACCUGUGGACUCUUACGGACUAAAGGAAUAUAAACAACGGAGGAAUGGACGGAGAAUCGGAGUUCAACACUUCUAAAAGAAGAGGUCAGAGCACGACGUGGACUCAGGCCUUGUAGGGAGAUCUCAGCGGCGUGGCUCCUCCUGAACACAGGUCACUGCUCCUGUACUGCCAACCUGCUGCAGACCAGCUACUCACAUCCAAAGAGACUGUCUGUCUUGGAGAUUGCUGAUCCUUUAUUACGUGGCGCCUGCAUUCCAGCAGCAGCAGCAGCAGUGCAGGUGUGGGACCUCUGAACGACCUCUGACCUGGUAGAUGCCCUCAACCAUCUGGAUCUCACUCAGGAUGCAGAGGCUGUUUCCCUCCAUUGUGAUUGUCCGCCCCGCCCUGAUGUGUGUCACCUGUGUCCAGUCGUCCCUGCCUCCGCUGUGAAUCUCAGUCCUCGUCAGUUGAUCUGUUUUGCUCCUGUGAACGAGGGUUGAAAGCAGAGCGAACAGAGCCGCAGAUACCAAGAAGUAAAGUAGAAACAAAAUUGUUUAUCUGGCACAAAAUCAAGGCGCAGUGGCAAAAAUGAUGGGGCGAAGAUCUAACAGGAAGACAUGUAUCAGAUCCAGCGGGAGGUUGAAGUGGAAGAGACUUUGGGGGAAAACAGGCGAGAGCAGAGCUUGAUAAAUAGAACAAGAUUAGGUCAUACCAAACUGAAUUCUUCAUUACAUCUCAUUGGAAAACAUCCAUCUGGAAACUGUGACAGCUGCAAUCAAAAAGAGUUUUUUUUGCCUGCCCAAAAUAUAGAAAUGAGAGGAACCUAUUAAAGACUAAGCUGGAACAAGAAGGGAUUAAACGUGUGAAUCUUCAAGCAGUUUUUACAUAUAGUUCUAGGAAUUGUACUUUUGAAACAUUUUUAUUUACCUAAAAGACACAGGAUUAACAACGAGUACUUUAGGACUCAGCAGUAGGUGGCGAUAAUGCGCCUCAUGGUUGCAAUUUGCCAUAAAAACGAAGAAGAAAAAGAAGAUGUUUUUCCCCGGGUUGUUUCCCUGAUGUCUCCUGUGUUUUGGACUUUGGAUUUAUUGCUGCCCCUGUCGGGACUUUGCCUCACACGUUCAAAGCAAUUGUGUUUUUCCUUGGUUCACUGUCAUGCUCCUUGAACUGAUCCAGCACACUGUCUAUGAGUCUGUGUUUUGGUCCAGUUAACCUGACAAGCGCAAUGUGAUGACGUGAUUAAAAAAAGCAUCAAUCAAACCUCGAACAAACAAAACAAUGUACUGCACUAAUGAUUUCUUCACUAAGACUGUUUCCAUUGUGUUUUAUUGGAUUUUACUCUAAUUGAUGCUCCCACUUUUCCGCCUCAGUCGAGCAUAACAACUCCUUUGCAAUAUUUUCUCAAUAUCUCUCCACAUAGUUUUGUGCACUGUCUGAAAAAUGUGCAUAAAGAUUCAUGGAAACACAAUGACUGAGAGCCAGA
Molecule: long non-coding RNA, 1858 nt
Organism: Seriola aureovittata
Lineage: Eukaryota; Metazoa; Chordata; Actinopteri; Carangiformes; Carangidae
Exons: 4
Source: RefSeq, a predicted model, not a curated record